GGAAGAUAGGUGACAGAUGUUAGCUCAGGUGCCAAUCUUUAAAGAAAAGAAAAGGAUCACUCUGGUUGCUCUGGGGGUCAGAUUGUGGCAGAGCAAGACUAGAAGCAGGGAGACCAGUUAGGAGGCUACUGCAAGAAACUAGGAAAGAAGUCAUGAUUCUUCGGACCAAGGUAAAGACAGUGAAGACAGAAGAAGAUGGUUUUGGUAUUUGUUUUAGAGGCAGAAUGCUUGGAAUGGAGUAAAAGUGGGGAAUGAGAGAAAGAGAGCAAUGGGGUUACGAUAACAGCUAUUCUUUAUUGAAUACAUAUUACAUGACAGGCAGUGUUCUAAGUGCUUUGUAAAUAUUAAGCCAUUUAAUUAUCAUAAAAGUCCCAAAAGGUAGGUGCUAUUAUUAUCCCAUUAACAAAUUAGGAAAUGAGGCUGGAGGGGUUAAGUAAUUUGCUCCAAGUUACCUAGCUGAGAAGUGGCAGAGCUGGGAUUGGACCACACAGGCAGUCAGCUUCCAGAGUUCGUACUCUUCUCCCACCCCUAUCCCAGGCCCCUCUGUUGGUGUCACAGUCAAAGUGAAAAUUUCUUCAGCCACACUCAGCUACAGUACCACAAAUACCCUCUCCUUUGUCCCUUCCUCUCCUCCUUCUCCUCUUCUCUCUCUCAUACACAUAAGCAUCUAUUUUCUUUCUACAUGCUCUCUAGAAUGCCCCCUCCCCUCUCCUUCUCUGCCCAGCUUAAUUUAUUAACCUUCACUCGUCCUUACAGACUAAGUCAAAUCUUCUCUGGCUCCACAGCAACCUUGUGCUUACCUCUAUAAUUUUCUCUGUAAAGCAUUUCAUUAUUACUUAUAGGUCUUUCUCACUAAACUUUGAAGGCAGGUAGUUUAAUGCCCAACACAUAAGGGAGAAAGGAAGGAAGCAGGCACAGACACCCAGCCAUGCACACAUGGCAUGCUUUCCCUGGGUAUUGGGAGACACAAAUAUGGUAAAGCAUUAUCUCUGCCUUCAAGAAGCUGUAAAACUUGGCGGGCAAAUAGACACACAGAAAAUCACUUUACUACGAGGGCCAAAAGUGUGAUAGAAACCACGUUUUAUAGGAGCACUGGACAGGACACUGGAGGCAAGAAGCGUGGCCUUAGGUUGCUUCACUGGAAAAAAAAAUGCAACCAGGAAUGGGAGCUUGGGGCUUUAUUCUCCACCAUCAUUUAAUAUGGCUUGGGGAGGCAGUCUUGGGACCUCAUCCAGGAAAACUUGGGAGAUUUUCAGUUGCCACAAUUGAUUCACUGGAAUGUGCUACUUCCUGACUUCUCACUCUUACCUGUCCUUAUGUGAAUAAGUGUAUUGAUUCCCAAGUUAGUUCAAUUCCCUUCCUGGCAGGGUCAUAGAAAUUUCUUCUUCUACACUUCCUUCCUUUUUUUCAUCUGUGAGGUUUCAGAACGUAGGUUCUAGCUGUAGGACCUUGGGAAAGUUACCAAACUCCUAUGGCCCAGUGUGUAAGGCUGUGAAGGUUGUGCCCUGCAUUACCACAUGGGGUGCCACAGACUUAGACCACACUAUGCACAGUGCCCUGUGGGUGUGCUUCACAGAGGCCCUGCUCAACAUACCCAGCCAUAAAAUGGGGGUAAAAAUAGGACCUACUCCAUUUGGGUUGUUCUCAGGAAUAAAUGAGAAAAUGCAGAUACAGCGCUUAGGUUUGGCAUGUGGAAAAUUAUCAGUAAACACCAACUGCUAUUACUGGGUAAAGGGAAGCUUGCUGGAGUGGGAGUUUUUCCAGCUAGUAUUUUAAAAUGGGGUUACAUGGGUCCCUGCUUGGGUGGUUCUGUUAAUUGUUAGGACCAUAUAGGGAAUCUGGAGAGGAGAGGCCUUUUCUCUUCUAAAUUGGGAACCUAAGCCCCUCAAUGGAAAAAUCCUUCAGGUGGCUGAAGACUGAGCUGCUUUGAUCCACCUAUCUGCUCUGCUCCAUCUCUUAUCCCCCACCUUCCACGGGAGAACCAGCACUGUGUUGUCCCCAAAGCUGGCGCAAGGUACCCUUUUUUGUGGGAAAGUUAGACUCCCCCAAAGGCUAUCUCAAAGUGUAGGCUAGAACCGCCAUUACCGGAAUCACCUGGAGUGCUUGUUAAACUAGAUUGCUGGGUUUCAUCUCAGACUAACAAAAUCAUUGUCUGUGGGGUUGGGUCCUGGAAUCUAGUUUUAAUAAACUAUUCAGGUAAUUCAUAGUACAUGUUUGAGAACUACAGAUUAGGUGCUGCAACCAGUAUGAUAAUAUCCCAACUUCAAGUAGUUUUCUUCCACUAGAUCUCUCAUUAGGUCCUUUAGGAAGCAGGGUACCUCUUUCCUGUUCAUGGGACCCAUCCAGUCACGUACAACCUGAUUCAUUCUCCCUCCCACCCAUUAUCCAGCAGUGACAUCUCCUUUAACAUGUUCUUUUGGAGACUGGAUCCUCAGGUCACCAUUACCCGUUACUUAUUCCAGUCUUUUUGAUUACCUUCCCUCUUUGGCUGACUCAUGGACAAGCCUACCCCAUGCUGGUGACCUGGGCCAGAAACUCCAAGAGUCCCCUAUGACUAGAACCAGUUAGACUCACUCCAUGUUGGACAGGAUGAGUUUGGCUGACUUGGUCCACAGUGGUGGGCUGCAUUGGGAGCAGGAUGUAAGUGGGUGAUGAGCAAGGACUUAGAAUAACCAUAUGGCCCAGUUUGCUGAGGGCAGUCCUGGCUUAUACAUGUUGUUGGUGCUUAAUUAUUAAUAGUAUCCCCUUUUACUCUCAAAGGGCCCUGGCUUAGACAAUAAACUAUAUGGUCAUCCUGGUAAUGAGCCUCAUGUCAAGACCAACAGUUGCAAUGCUUUACCCCUGGAUUGUGCCUAGAUCACCCACUUCCUAAUCUCCCAGCCUCAAAUCCCAUGCCGUGGCUCCUUCUUCCUCUCAGAUUUCCUUAGUGAAUUCACUUUGGUAUAAUACUUUGGGCCCACAUUAAGGGAUUUAUAAGAAAGCAUCGUGAAAUUUGUUGCUAUAUUUACUCUUUCUGACAAUAACUGGAAAAUAUAUUUUUUUGGUUUUAGCACCUGGUAUAAUUGUGUUUCCCUUGUUUGUUAUCCCCAUUUGUUUUUGUCUUCUGGAUACCUAAUUGUGGAACUGACAGUAUUUCCCUUGGCUAUGAGAAAGCUUAGAGCCAUAUAUGUGGCUUUCUUCCGGCCUGUGUGUAAGAUUGAACAGGAUGUACUUUAUAUACUUAACUCACUUCCAACUUUAAUCCUCUGUUUCGAUUUCUUCACUAACUUUAGACUGAAUUUUUCUGGUGCUAUCUUAUGUAUAUCUGUAAACCAUCUUUUAUCCUUUUUGAAACAAGGCAGGUAUAAAAAAAUGUGUAUGAACACAUGCCCACAAACAAACUGGUACUGCUUCUAGUUAUGUAACUGAAAGGGAUUAUUUUUAAAAGUACACGAAUACUUUCCUCACUUACAGAAGAUAAUAUUAACAAAUGAAUAGCACUUUAAGUAAUGCUGGAUUUAGCAUUCUUCAACUACAUUAUUAUCUAGAAAGUGAAAAGAUUCCAAACAAAAGAAAACAAAAGAUUAGAUUAAUUUGCAAGCUGAAAUAUUUUUAGCUAUGACCCAGAACCUUAUACCAAAUAAUGCAAUGAAAAAUGCUCACUACCGAAACUGCAUAGCCUAAUUAGAUAGCAUUCAGGGGUGUUUACCUUCACAACAAAAUUUCGUGCUGUUGGAGAUGAAAAAAGGAGAGGAAGGGGGAUGGUCAGGGAAUCAGAUUUGGGAAUGUACAGUCCAGAUUAUAAUGAUGACCUAUGAGGAGGAGGGUUUGGCCAGAAGCUUGUGGCUUAUACCAGUCUCCAGACAACUGUUCUUCCUGCUGGCCUUGAUAAUAUUGCAGGAGUCUGGGUAGCUGGCACCCUGCAGUUUGCAGCUAACAUAAAACCGCAGAAUGAAAUUCAUCUUAAUGAAAUUACUGAGGAAUACAUUUUACAACUAAUUUAUUUUGGAGUUUGCACCGAAUUUACAAGACUCAAAGCUAGAUAUUCUAUGUGUACUGAGUUAUUUUAUGGAUAACUUGGGCAUCUAGUUAAAUCUGCUUUAAAAAAAUUUUACCCUAAAAUCAUGGAGAUCAUGCUCUAUAUAGUGAUUUCUGCCCUUUUCCAGCAUGAAUAUACCUAUUUAUCUUCCUUAAGAUGGAAGCAUUGUAAAAAAUACAAAAAGUUUCAGAGAAUAAGGUAAGAAACCCAUGUAGCUCCUAAAAGAACACAUGUUAACAUUUUCUCACAUUUGUAUUAUUUUUCAAAGCAAAAUAAAUGAGACAUUAGACAGUAGAAGCCUACUUUGUACCUUUCCCCAGUCCCAUUCCUUUCCUCCCAAGGCACCUAUUAUCCUGAAAGUUUACCAUUCUGGUUCACACUUUUAUCCUUUUACUACAGAAGUGCAUAUUCACAAAUAACAUAUUCUAUUUUAUGUUCUAAACAUAGUUUUUACUAAACAAAAUUUUUACAUAAAUGAUAUUGUACUGAAUGGUAUCAUUCCACAACUUUUUUUUUCUUCUCAACAUUGUUUUCAAGAUCUACCCAUGUUAAUACAUGGAAAUCUACUUCAUUCAUUUUAACUGCUAUGUAAAUGAGCAUUCUUAUACAUGUCUCUUUUUGCACAUUGGGGAUAGUUUCUCUAGGGUAUAUACCUAGCAACAGAAUUACUGAAGACACUCUUUACAGGUUGAAAAACAUUAUAACCCCUUUUGUGGCCCCCCUCUGCUCUGAUUAUACUUGUAGGUGUUAGUGUUCAAUGGGUGAGAAAACACAUGUGUGCAUUUGGAUUCUCAGAGCCCUUCCGGUAAAAGGUCUAAUAUUAUUAAUAGAGGGAGAUGAAGGCUCGUAGAUCAAGGUCCCGUUACACUUGUUUCUUCAUCUUUAUGAUGAGGAUAAUAAAAAUAACUCCUUAGAGUUUCUGUGAGAAUUAGAUGAAAUAAUAAGUGUAAAGCAUUUAGCAUUGUGCCUGGCACUUAGUAAUAGCUCAGUAAAUAUUAGCUAUUAUCAAUAAUGGUAUUUUAAGAUGAGUGGAUAUUGGAUUCAGUGGCUUUUAUUUGAAGACAGUGUACCAUAGAAAGAUACAAUUUUAAGGAAGGAAGAAAAUUUUAUUCCUCCCUGUAAUAUCAUUUUUGGAAGUUUUAUCUUUAUGUUUUUCUUUUCCUUUCAAAUUGUGUUUAAUAUUUUUGGCAGAAUCUCAGCACUGAAACAGUAAGAUAGAAAACAUUUAAGCAGGGAGAAAACAGCAGGGAGAGGCAACUAAGUAGAAACUAACCCGUGCUGGAAGUGGACAGCCUGUUUUUGCAGGUGCCAUCUUUCACCUUUCUUUUCCGCCAUCCAUUCUGUUCAAUGGAGUUGUCACUUUAGCUCCAUGUAUGCUAGCCAGGAAACUCAUCAGCAAUUACCAAAACCAAUUCUGUUUAUAGUAUGGUUCGAAUCUUAAAAAUCCCAUCUACCUUUGCCAGGGGAAUCCCAUUAGAAAUGUGUUAGGAGAAGACAUAUUUAAAUAGUUAUUUCCUAGCAAAUGUGGUCAGAAUCCCAAAUGGCUAAUUGGAAGUCUGUGUGAUAUGAAAAGAUGGACAAGAGAUGACAUGUAAUACUUGAAUGCAUCAACUGAUAUUUACAGCUAGCAGGGAGAAUUUAGGACCCUUUGUUAACUUGUUGAAAUUCAUACUUAGGAGUUUUCAAAAGAAAAAUCACAAGUUUGGAGAUAAAAUGACUGUGCCAAGCCAACAUUCCUAUCAAAGAUCAAAGAGAAUAAGAUUUUAAAAUAGCUGGAUAACUAAGCAAAGGAGAAAAAUAUCUGAAGUCUCAGGGCCAGAGAUUUGAAUUCAAUUUCAAAUUGUUUCUAGGGGUUUUAUAUCCUGUGAUAAAAGCAAGCUUUUAAACAGUAAAUUUCAAGGACAGGAGGGGAAAACUUAAUAAUUACCAUAAUGCUUUGAUUCUGAGAUGGCUUUGUUCAAAGAUAAAUUCCCAUAAACUAAUGUUGUGUUAUAAUUUAUUUUUUACCAAUAAAAGGUAGGUGUCCAAUCCAGAUUUUGUACAUUGUUGGUUCCAUACAUCACAUGAGCUCUCUUAAAUUAUCUUUUCUGUGUUUCAGUGUUGAAUAGAAGAGGAAUAAUGUAGUAGCAAGCAUUUUGGAAUUUAGAAACAAUACUUGAGACGUUCUAUUUUCAGAAGUACAUGUAUUUUCAGAAGUACAAAUCCACAACCCAAUCAAAUUCAAGGACUUGGAUGAGUAAAGUAGAUGAUCAGUCACAAAGAGUGCACAUCUGGGAACUCUUGGAAGAGUUGGGAAUGAUCCCUGAAGAAUGAUGCUUGGGCAACUGAGCAAAAGAAAGCUGAGAGCAUCAGAAUGAGUGGCAGGUUCUGGAAGUGGAAAAGAAAAAAACAACGUUUGGGAAAAGAAAAUGUGGAAAAUGUCAAGGAAGAGGCUUGAUGCAGAGCAGCAGGGCAAUCUUGGAAGCUUCAUGUUGAAGAUGGUGGAGCCACAAGUUAGAAGGAGUCUGGGUUGGAGGAGAGCUAUAUGCUGAUCAGGAACAUCCAUUUUAGACUUGAUCUGAGUGAAAAAUAAACAUGUAUUGUGAUGUUAAAGCAA
This is a non-coding RNA of Equus caballus (horse), 6614 nucleotides long. NCBI's taxonomy places the organism in Eukaryota, Metazoa, Chordata, Mammalia, Perissodactyla, Equidae. The record is from RefSeq and is a predicted model, not a curated record.